Molecule: ribosomal RNA, 253 nt
Filed under: uncultured bacterium
Lineage: Bacteria
Description: partial 16S ribosomal RNA
Rfam family: Bacterial small subunit ribosomal RNA
Source: RNAcentral
UACAGAGGGGGCAAGCGUUGUUCGGAAUUACUGGGCGUAAAGGGCGCGUAGGCGGCCUGUUAAGUCGAACGUGAAAUCCCCGGGCUCAACCCGGGAACUGCGUCCGAUACUGGCAGGCUUGAAUCCGGGAGAGGGAUGCGGAAUUCCAGGUGUAGCGGUGAAAUGCGUAGAUAUCUGGAGGAACACCGGUGGCGAAGGCGGGUCUCUGGGCCGAUACUGACGCUGAGGAGCGAAAGCGUGGGGAGCGAACAGG